This is a non-coding RNA of Chytriomyces cf. hyalinus JEL632, 72 nucleotides long. The record is from the annotation of a GenBank genome assembly. NCBI's taxonomy places the organism in Eukaryota, Fungi, Chytridiomycota, Chytridiomycetes, Chytridiales, Chytriomycetaceae.
ACGAGCAUGGUGUAGUGGUUAGCAUCUCACCUUCCCAAGGUGAGGACUUGGGUUCGAAUCCCGAUGCUCGAA